GAGCGCUAAGGGCAAACCUGUCAAAAGACAGGGACGCAAAGCCAUAGGGUCUAAGGAGCUUACCAGGUGGAUGAAAUA
This 78-nucleotide non-coding RNA is filed under the name Desulfosporosinus sp. RNAcentral's name for it is "c-di-GMP sequence". It matches the Rfam family "c-di-GMP-I riboswitch aptamer". Rfam says of the family: GEMM was predicted in a large-scale screen for bacterial structured RNA regulatory elements. Genes associated with GEMM are involved in a diverse array of functions, including chemotaxis regulation, signal transduction, secretion and chitin. The record is from RNAcentral. Lineage: Bacteria; Bacillati; Bacillota; Clostridia; Eubacteriales; Desulfitobacteriaceae. RNAcentral also lists the same sequence under 1 other name.